Molecule: long non-coding RNA, 1034 nt
Organism: Ctenopharyngodon idella (grass carp)
Lineage: Eukaryota; Metazoa; Chordata; Actinopteri; Cypriniformes; Xenocyprididae
Exons: 3
Source: RefSeq, a predicted model, not a curated record
UUCACCUGGGAACAUGGCCACCUAAGAUAUUAAUUAAAUAUGUUUAAUAUUUAAACAAUUUGUAUUAUUUAGGGCUGCAACAACUAAUCGAUAAAAUUGUUAAUAAUAGAUUAAAUAAUCGCUGAAAAUCGUCAACAACGAUUCGAUUAAUCGCGUCUGCCCACUGUACACGGAAGACUUCCGCCAUUCGUGUCAAAUUACAGCACUGAAUAAUGCAUUUCUAUGGGCAAAAUGCAUCCAAAAAUAGUGGAGGAAACAGAGUGAGCUAUGCGGCAAAGCCCGAAGAGCCACUCUGAUGCAAGGCCUUCAUAAGGCUGUGUUGAGGGGUUGAAGACAAUAUGCAGUGGACUUUGCAGAGUAUUUAAAGAAGCCAUCAGUGCGGGUUCUUAUAAAGAAAAUGUGUAAUUUCAAGUACUUUAUGGUUCUAGGACAAAAGCUCUGCCCUAGUGAAUGGCAGCUGCCGCUUCUCUUCAUUAGUCGUGCGGGUUUCUACGAACGGGCCUUAAUCUGCUGUCGGAGACAGUGUGAUGUGGCUGGGUGAGCCAAAGCCUCCUGUGUGAGGGGGAGGAAGACAAGGGCCCUUUUGCUGAGAGAUCAUCCUCCUGUUGUUGUGCAGAGCUGCAGACGGGCCCUGUCUGUCCCUGCCAGUGCACAAGCCUCGCUAUCGGCUUCGCCAGACGCUGCCUACGCUUGCCGGCCACUCUGAGAGCGUGCCAGGGAUGGCUUUGUGGAGAUGUGUCUGAUGUGCUCCAUCUUUUCUUUUGGAGGAUAAUUAAAAGAGGAAAUAGUGGUGGAAUAUACACUGAAUAAUGGAGGGAUUGGGGGCGCUUCUGAAGCCAUUCAGAUGUGGUUAUUAUUUAGUUUAUACUUUGUUUACAUGCAGUUUUGUCUCUCUCUCUCUCCUUCGCUACACUCUCUUGGGUGUUUCAUAAAACUUUUUUCUUUUAAUAAUGACUUUAGCCCCAGUUUAGACCCAACAUGUUAUUUUUUAAAAUGUACACUAUAAUGUUUUUGAAAGAAAUCUCUUAUACUCA